UACGUAGGCAGCGAGCGUUGUUCGGAGUUACUGGGCGUAAAGGGUGUGUAGGCGGUUGUUUAAGUUUGGUGUGAAAUCUCCCGGCUCAACUGGGAGGGUGCGCCGAAUACUGAAUGACUAGAGUGCGGGAGAGGAAAGUGGAAUUCCUGGUGUAGCGGUGAAAUGCGUAGAUAUCAGGAGGAACACCGGUGGCGAAGGCGGGUCUCUGGGCCGAUACUGACGCUGAGGAGCGAAAGCCAGGGGAGCGAACGGG
Molecule: ribosomal RNA, 253 nt
Filed under: uncultured bacterium
Lineage: Bacteria
Description: partial 16S ribosomal RNA
Rfam family: Bacterial small subunit ribosomal RNA
Source: RNAcentral